Molecule: ribosomal RNA, 253 nt
Filed under: uncultured bacterium
Lineage: Bacteria
Description: partial 16S ribosomal RNA
Rfam family: Bacterial small subunit ribosomal RNA
Source: RNAcentral
UACGAAGGGGGCUAGCGUUGUUCGGAAUUACUGGGCGUAAAGGGCGCGUAGGCGGAUUGGUAAGUCAGAUGUGAAAGCCCCAGGCUCAACCCCGGAAUUGCACUCGAAACUGCGAGGCUUGAGUCCGGGAGAGGGUGGCGGAAUUCCCGGUGUAGGGGUGAAAUCCGUAGAUAUCGGGAGGAACACCAGUGGCGAAGGCGGCCACCUGGACGGUGACUGACGCUGAGAAGCGAAAGCGUGGGGAGCAAACAGG